Molecule: ribosomal RNA, 747 nt
Filed under: bacterium enrichment culture clone PF-1_3
Lineage: Bacteria
Description: bacterial SSU rRNA
Rfam family: Bacterial small subunit ribosomal RNA
Source: RNAcentral
UAGAGUUUGAUCCUGGCUCAGCUUGAACGCUGGCGGCAUGCCUUACACAUGCAAGUCGAACGGCAGCACGGGGGCAACCCUGGUGGCGAGUGGCGAACGCGUGAGUAAUACAUCGGAACGUGUCCUGUAGUGGGGGNNNNNNCGGCGAAAGCCGGAUUAAUACCGCAUACGAUCUAUGGAUGAAAGCGGGGGAUCUUCGGACCUCGUGCUAUAGGNNNNNCCGAUGGCGGAUUAGCUAGUUGGUGGGGUAAAGGCUCACCAAGGCGACGAUCCGUAGCUGGUCUGAGAGGACGACCAGCCACACUGGGACUGAGACACGGCCCAGACUCCUACGGGAGGCAGCAGUGGGGAAUUUUGGACAAUGGGGGCAACCCUGAUCCAGCAAUGCCGCGUGUGUGAAGAAGGCCUUCGGGUUGUAAAGCACUUUUGUCCGGAAAGAAAUCCUAAUGGCUAAUAUCCGUUGGGGAUGACGGUACCGGAAGAAUAAGCACCGGCUAACUACGUGCCAGCAGCCGCGGUAAUACGUAGGGUGCGAGCGUUAAUCGGAAUUACUGGGCGUAAAGCGUGCGCAGGCGGUUCGCUAAGACCGAUGUGAAAUCCCCGGGCUUAACCUGGGAACUGCAUUGGUGACUGGCGGGCUAGAGUAUGGCAGAGGGGGGUAGAAUUCCACGUGUAGCAGUGAAAUGCGUAGAGAUGUGGAGGAACAUCAGUGGCGAAGGCGGCCAUCUGGAUCAACACUGACGCUGA